Long non-coding RNA from Corapipo altera (White-ruffed manakin), 2418 nucleotides. RefSeq lists it as uncharacterized. The record is from RefSeq and is a predicted model, not a curated record. The transcript is spliced from 5 exons. Lineage: Eukaryota; Metazoa; Chordata; Aves; Passeriformes; Pipridae.
UUUUCAGACUAAGGUGGUGCAGCCCUAGGGCUGUGGCUGGACAGAGGCUGUCUGCUGGUGUGAGUAGAGGGGGCAUUCCCAGACAUUAUGGGAACAGAGAUGGGAUUUGUAGCCAUGAACACCAAGAAAACAAGAGGCAAAGAGAGGCAGAUGCCAUGCAGACAAAUGUUGAGGGGUCCGGCCUUGCUGUCUAAGGAUCUGCCAGUUCUGCACUGAAAUUUUGAGUGAAGUCUUGCUGGAUAAAGUACAUUAAAAUCAAUGGAAAGUCUGGUUUAAAGGCAACAGAUGUGUUUUACUGAAGAUUAUUCAGAACCACAGGUUGGGCCCUGCCAUCUGCUGAAUUUGGAUAUGAUGUCUGCAAAGCUGGUGUGGAAAUAAAACAAAACUCUGCCUUUGGGAGAGAAACUGCCAAUGCCUUUGUAGCUACAACUGUCUCCCACAGAAAAUUACCUUUCUUAUUUUGUGAGAUAUGUACCCUCUCCAUACAAACGUAAGCUAAGGUUAAAUUCCAGCUCUCAGAGCUCGAUUUUAUCUCAAGUCCCUGCUAAAAUGCCUCAGUACUUGAUUGGAGAAGAGCAUGAGGACUCUGCUCUAGUAAGACCUGCUUUGAGUGUGGAAGUAGACCAUGGACCUUCAUAGGUCUUUUUCAACCUGUGUGGCUGUAGAAUCAAAAUUAUUACAUCUGUGGAAUCACAUGAACAUGGAAGUAUCUUUCUUUGUCAAAUUUGGUAAGGAAAGAUGGAUCUCUCAGUCAGGAAUACAAACAGAAAGAACAGACAACAGAGUUUUACUAGAAAGGUUGUUUAUUUUGUUGAAAGUUUGCUUGUAAAUAACUAUUUAAAAAAAAAAAAAAAAAAAGAAAAAAAAAUUAGCCUGCAUCCAGACAAGUUGCUGUUGAAAUACCCAAUCUAGUGAUUCACAGCUCCUCACCACUGGAAGGAAGGCUUUUCCCUUCUCUUUUCAAAUGCAGUGUCUUCUCACUAAGACAUUGAUUCCCAAUGCAGCUAGAAAAUCCUCUUGAGCUUCUAAUCUAAUAGAGAGACCUGUUAUUUUAUGUCCUGUGUUCUGCCAGAAUCAUGCUUAUGUUGGACAUGUCUUGGAAACAAACGCAGUUUUGGUCUAAUUUAAUAACUUGUUUUGGACAAUAAAGCCUUGAGUCCUGCUGCUGGCCCAUCAAGAAAGAAUCCUCUUGUGCAUGCAGUAGUAGCUGUGUUCAAAAAUAGUCUCCAAACUAUUGGGAAUAAACCCAAGAAAAAUGACAGUUUGUUUAAAAAACAGUCACUAAAUCUGUUUUAAAGUGAAUGAAACCAAAAUCUUAAGGCCACAUUUCAAAAAGCUAAUGCUAUGCCUUGAACUUAUAUAGCCUGUGAUACAGCAACUCAGCUCCACUCUCCCCUGAUAGAAAAGAGAGGGAAAAGGCUUUUGUGUAUUUGAAACUGCAUUUUUCGUCUGAACUGCAGAACAAAAUCCAACAGGAAUUAAGAAUUCACAGUAACCUCCCAUUUUCUGUUCUGAGGGUGAUGUACACUUCUCUGACCUGUGGCACAGAAAAGAGGAACAAAAAUCACUCUACCUGUGAUAGGUCAAAGGCAGCAGCACCAGAUGGAGCCCUUGCCUGAGAUGCCCCACUGGCAGGGUGGGCACUGCCCAAGUACCAGUAACUCAGAAACAGCUCCCAGCAGGCUCAGUAAAAGCAGCACCUCUGUUGUGAAGGAGCAGUGAAUGAACCACUCAGGCGAGAUGGGAAUUACAGCUCCAAAAUGAACAAGAAUCCUGCACAACAGCAGGACCUGAUCUAAUCUUUCCUUUGCCUCUGUGCUGGUAGGAAGGCAAGGUUGGCGUUUUCAAACCCCCUUCCCUUUGACUGGAAAGACUAGUGAAAAAACUACCUGUGCUCCAGAAGAUGAUUAAGAGACUGGAGUAUUUCUCUUAUGAGGAAAGGCUGAGGGAGCUGAGCCUGCUCAGUGUUGAGAAGAGAUGGCUGAGAGGGGACCUCAUCAAUGUCUGUCAGUGUCUGCAGAGAGGGGUCAGAGGAUGGACCAGGCUCUGCUCCGGGGUGCCCAGCAAGGGGACAAGAGGCAACAGGUAGAAACUGAUGCCCAGAAGAUUCAUCAAAAUGUAAGGAAGAGCUUCUUGUGAGUGACAGUGCACUGCAACAGGUUUCCUGGAGAGACUAGAGAGUCUCCCUCACUGGAGAUAUUUCAGAACUGUCUGGACACAGUCCUGUGCAAUGUUCUCUGGGAUGACCCUGCAACAGUGAGUUUGGACUGGAUGACCCACUGUGGGCCCUUCCAAAGUUACCCGCUCUGUGACUGUGCUAGGCCCUGUUCUCUCAGGAAUUCAUGUCUUAUCAAGAGCAAACAGUACCAGCCUGAGAGGGGACUAGACAAAACUAGAACUGCUUACAGCUCCACUCCU